RNAcentral lists this ribosomal RNA (446 nucleotides) under uncultured bacterium. RNAcentral describes it as "SSU rRNA". It matches the Rfam family "Bacterial small subunit ribosomal RNA", at positions 26 to 518 of the family's 1533-position model. The record is from RNAcentral.
AGAGCGAACGCUGGCGGCAGGCCUAACACAUGCAAGUCGAGCGCCGUAGCAAUACGGAGCGGCAGACGGGAGAGUAACACGUGGGAACGUACCUUUCAGUUCGGAACAACCCAGGGAAACUUGGGCUAAUACCGGAUACGCCCUUACGGGGAAAGAUUUAUCGCUGAAAGAUCGGCCCGCGUCUGAUUAGCUAGUUGGUGGGGUAACGGCCCACCAAGGCUACGAUCAGUAGCUGGUCUGAGAGGAUGAUCAGCCUCACUGGGACUGAGACACGGCCCAGACUCCUACGGGAGGCAGCAGUGGGGAAUAUUGGACAAUGGGCGCAAGCCUGAUCCAGCCAUGCCGCGUGGAUGAUGAAGGCCCUAGGGUUGUAAAGUCCUUUCGGCGGGGAAGAUAAUGACGGUACCCGCAGAAGAAGCCCCGGCUAACUUCGCGCCAGCAGCCGC